AUGGCGACCGGCGCACGGGUGCGUAACGCGUAUGCAACCUACCUUUAACAGGGGCAUAACACUGAGAAAUUGGUACUAAUUCCCCAUAACAUUCGAGAAGGCAUCUUCUUGGGUUAAAAACUCCGGUGGUUAAAGAUGGGCAUGCGUUGUAUUAGCUAGUUGGUGAGGUAACGGCUCACCAAGGCAACGAUACAUAGGGGGACUGAGAGGAAGGUCCCCCACAUUGGAACUGAGACACGGUCCAA
This 245-nucleotide ribosomal RNA is filed under the name uncultured bacterium. RNAcentral's name for it is "partial 16S ribosomal RNA". It matches the Rfam family "Bacterial small subunit ribosomal RNA", at positions 88 to 334 of the family's 1533-position model. The record is from RNAcentral.